AUUGCACGCUGGCGGCAGGCCUAACACAUGCAAGUCGAACGAGCGGCGGACGGGUGAGUAAUGUCUGGGGAACUGCCCGAUGUAGGGGGAUAACUACUGGAAACGGUAGCUAAUACCGCAUACCAUCAGAUGUGCCCAGAUGGGAUUAGCUAGUAGGUGGGGUAAAGGCUCACCUAGGCGACGAUCCCUAGCUGGUCUGAGAGGAUGAUCAGCCACACUGGAACUGAGACACGGCCCAGACGCCUACGGGAGGCAGCAGUGGGGAAUAUUGCACAAUGGGCGCAAGCCUGAUGCAGCCAUGCCGCGUGUAUGAAGAAGGCCUUCGGGUUGUAAAGUACUUUCAGUGGGGAGGCGUUACCGACAGAAGAAGCACUGGCUAACUCCGUGCCAGCAGCCGCGGUAAUAC
RNAcentral lists this ribosomal RNA (406 nucleotides) under uncultured bacterium. Its description in RNAcentral is "partial 16S ribosomal RNA". It matches the Rfam family "Bacterial small subunit ribosomal RNA", at positions 30 to 526 of the family's 1533-position model. The record is from RNAcentral.